AUGAAAGUCCUUGAUCGAGAGGAUUCAAUCAAGAAAGAGCUGCCAGAAGCAGUUGCAUCAUAUGAACUUGACUGCUUGAGAGGUGCUUGCUUGCUUGCAGGGCCUGAAGAUGCUCUGGAUCCCCAUGGGCUCGUGCUUGGCGCCACCCAGCCGCCGCAUCCGAUGCUUGAGGCUGAGGCAUGCAGGUGUCAGUCACUCACCCAGUCAGGUCAAAUUGGGGGCCAGGAAAGGAGCGGCGCCCAGUCCAAACACCUGAAAGGGCGUACGAAAAGAAGAGCAAUUUACUGGGCACUGAGGGUAAAGUAA
Molecule: ribosomal RNA, 306 nt
Filed under: Triticum aestivum (bread wheat)
Lineage: Eukaryota; Viridiplantae; Streptophyta; Magnoliopsida; Poales; Poaceae
Description: partial small subunit ribosomal RNA
Source: RNAcentral